Molecule: ribosomal RNA, 500 nt
Filed under: Elseya dentata
Lineage: Eukaryota; Metazoa; Chordata; Testudines; Chelidae
Description: partial 16S ribosomal RNA
Rfam family: Bacterial large subunit ribosomal RNA
Source: RNAcentral
AGGAGUGAUGCCUGCCCAGUGACACUGUUUAACGGCCGCGGUAUCCUGACCGUGCGAAGGUAGCGUAAUCACUCGUCUUUUAAAUAAAGACUAGAAUGAAUGGCUAAACGAAGUUCUAUCUGUCUCUUACAAACAAUCAGUGAAAUUGAUCUCCCCGUGCAAAAGCGGGAAUAACCCCAUAAGACGAGAAGACCCUGUGGAACUUUAAGUAUAGGUCACAAUCAUCAACCAACUAUUCAACAGAAAACACCCUGUAAAACACCUGACUUAAAACUUUCGGUUGGGGCGACCUCGGAGGAUAAUAAAACCCCCGAAAAUUACUACCAAGAUAGCACAAAUCUAAGUGUCUACGACAAAACGAUCCAAUAUACAUGAUCAACGAACCAAGCUACCCCAGGGAUAACAGCGCAAUCCCCUCUUAGAGUCCAUAUCAAUGACGGGGGUUUACGACCUCGAUGUUGGAUCAGGACACCCUAAUGGUGCAACCGCUAUUAAGGGUC